Molecule: long non-coding RNA, 818 nt
Organism: Lactuca sativa (garden lettuce)
Lineage: Eukaryota; Viridiplantae; Streptophyta; Magnoliopsida; Asterales; Asteraceae
Source: RefSeq, a predicted model, not a curated record
CCUUUGACUGGUCAAAAUAGGAACCGAUAGAAACGGUAAGGGUUUGUUUGCUUCGUCCUUUGUUGAACGGGAAGGGAAGAACGUCUGCGCGAGCAGACGAAGGAAAAAGAGAGUAAAGCGAAGGCUCAUCGGUCGAUUUGCAAAGCCGAGAUGGUCUCCGAAUCUGAGGUCCGACUUGGCCGAAGAAUAAAUGGGAGAAGUAGCGAGGAUGUGCUCUUCUGGGUCGGCUGCUAGGUGCGAAGGAGGACGAUCGAUCGGUGACACCGUGGAUUUGAUGGUGCGGCGGUGGCCGACAAAUCGCGAGGAGAGGAGGGCGUCGACCUCCGACGACCCUCCUUGGUCCAUUUGUUCCGUCGUUGGUAGCCACAGAUCGAGAAAAAUAACGCAACGAAGAAUAACGGACAUAGCCACAGUGGGCAGCUCCGGUGUUCAAGCGGUUUGCGAGGAAGGGAUCCUCCUAUCUCCGGCGACCCGUCUAUGGGAUCCCUGCUCGUCGCCGGCGGCAGCAAUCAGAAGGAAAGAAGCUCAGAACUAGUGGCAGUCGACAUUUGAGGAACAAGGAAAAAGUAACACUUGACAGCUCACAAUGAGAAAUAGCUAGUCAAGCUCACAAUGAGAAAUAGCUUCUAAGUUCUAACUAGAUUGUUUUGUGUGUAUCUUUGUAUAAAAUGGUUUGUUUUGUGUGUAUCUUUGUAUAAAACAAGGGUUGUACAAUAAUUUGUACAAUUUGUAUAAAUAUAGAAAAUUGUUCAAAAUUUACAUAAUAUUUAUUAUGUAAUAUGCCUUUAUUUUUUAUAAUGAUAGUAAUUUUUUUUAUA